Molecule: ribosomal RNA, 326 nt
Filed under: uncultured Armatimonadota bacterium
Lineage: Bacteria; Bacillati; Armatimonadota
Description: bacterial SSU rRNA
Rfam family: Bacterial small subunit ribosomal RNA
Source: RNAcentral
GACGAACGCUUGCGGCGUGCCUAAGAAAUGCAAGUCGAGCGAGGUCCAGCCUUCGGGCGAAGACCUAGCGGCGAACGGUCGCGUAACACGUAAGCAACCUGCCCUAAAGUGGGGGAUAGCCCUCCGAAAGGAGGAUUAAUACCGCAUGUGGACACUUGAUCGCAUGGUUAAGUGUCUAAAGCAGCAAUGCGCUUUAGGAUGGGCUUGCGGCCUAUCAGCUAGUUGGUGUGGGUAACGGCUCACCAAGGCGACGACGGGUAGCUGGUCUGAGAGGAUGGUCAGCCGGACUGGGACUGAGAUACGGCCCAGACUCCUACGGGAGGCUG